GAGCCUGAGAAACGGCUACCACAUCCAAGGAUGGCAGCAGGCGCGCAAAUUACCCAAUCCCGACACGGGGAGGUAGUGACAAUAAAUAACAAUACGGGGUUCUUUAGGAUCUCGUAAUUGGAAUGAGUACAAUUUAAAUCUCUUAACGAGGAACAAUUGGAGGGCAAGUCUGGUGCCAGCAGCCGCGGUAAUUCCAGCUCCAAUAGCGUAUAUUAAAGUUGUUGCAGUUAAAAAGCUCGUAGUUGAAUUUCGGGGUUAGUAGGUUGGUCAUGCCUCUGGUAUGUACUGGUCUCACUGAUUCCUCCUUCCUUAUGAACCGUAAUGCCAUUAAUUUGGUGUUGCGGGGAAUUUGGACUGUUACUUUGAAAAAAUUAGAGUGUUUAAAGCAAGCUAACGCUUGAAUACAUUAGCAUGGAAUAAUGAAAUAGGACGUUCGAUCUUAUUUUGUUGGUUUCUAGGAUUGACGUAAUGAUUAAUAGGGAUAGUUGGGGGCAUUAGUAUUCAAUUGUCAGAGGUGAAAUUCUUGGAUUUAUUGAAGACUAACUACUGCGAAAGCAUUUGCCAAGGAUGUUUUCAUUAAUCAAGAACGAAAGUUAGGGGAUCGAAGACGAUCAGAUACCGUCGUAGUCUUAACCAUAAACUAUGCCGACUAGGGAUCGGAUGAUGUUAAUUUUUUAAUGACUCAUUCGGCGCCUUACGGGAAACCAA
RNAcentral lists this ribosomal RNA (708 nucleotides) under uncultured fungus. RNAcentral describes it as "SSU rRNA". It matches the Rfam family "Eukaryotic small subunit ribosomal RNA", at positions 392 to 1101 of the family's 1831-position model. The record is from RNAcentral. Lineage: Eukaryota; Fungi.